GUCAGGAUGGCCUAGUGGUGUAAGGCUCUGCGUUCAGGUCACAGUCUCCCCUGGAGGCAUGGAUUCAUAUCUCACUUCUGACA
This 83-nucleotide transfer RNA is filed under the name Cervus elaphus hippelaphus. Its description in RNAcentral is "tRNA-Leu". Lineage: Eukaryota; Metazoa; Chordata; Mammalia; Artiodactyla; Cervidae. The record is from RNAcentral.